Molecule: long non-coding RNA, 767 nt
Organism: Rhagoletis zephyria (snowberry fruit fly)
Lineage: Eukaryota; Metazoa; Arthropoda; Insecta; Diptera; Tephritidae
Source: RefSeq, a predicted model, not a curated record
GGAAAAUUAUGCCGAUAAACAGGAUGGAAUUUGGGAAAAAAUGUUAUAAAUCGAGUGGCUCAUUUACGAUGUGCUCCAAACAUUUGCGAACUAUUUUUCGCCUUUUCAACGUGCUAAGUAACAAGUUAAGAUGACUGCCAUCAUGGGCCGGUAAGAAACCGCAAGCAAAGGGCAGACAACCUUCCAGGAAGCUGCCUCCUGUCCCCGAGCCGAAGCUGCAGUUCCGCAAGAGCAGGACAGCCAAUUGCUACCCUGAUCAAACGUAAACUAAAGCGCUCUGCUGUGAUUGCACUCCUUAAAUGUGAAAACUUGGUGCAUGCUGAGAAAUAUAAACAAGAAAACUCCGUGAUGGACGCCGUGAGAUGGAGUAACGCUGUGUGGCAAAGAAAUGCGGCCAAUUCGACGGGCCUGAAAAAUCCAAAUUGGCUUUUAUGAUCCGCAUCCGCGGUAUCAACAAAGUUGCACAAAAAGUGCGUAGUUUUACAGUUCUGUCUUCGCCACAUUAAAACGGUGUGUUCAUCAAAUUGACCAAGGCAACCAUUAAUAGCUACGUAUGCCGAACCCCUAUAUGGGGUUAUCCAAAUCUUAAAUCAGUUUGUGAAUUGAUGUACAAACGGAAUGGUCAAGCGUGUCCCAAUCUCUGCUUUGUGAUCGAACGCAAAUUUCGCGAAGCGCACGAAAUUCAGUGCGUUGAUUCACUUCACUUCAAGAAAGCCCCCAACUUCCUGUUGCUAUUCAAGCUCAACACAUCAACCCGAGGCUGGCGC